Molecule: ribosomal RNA, 593 nt
Filed under: uncultured bacterium
Lineage: Bacteria
Description: bacterial SSU rRNA
Rfam family: Bacterial small subunit ribosomal RNA
Source: RNAcentral
GAAAGAUUUAUCGCUUUAAGAUUGGCCCGCGGAAGAUUAGGUAGUUGGUGGGGUAAAGGCCUACCAAGCCGACGAUCUAUAGCUGGUCUGAGAGGACGAACAGCCACAUUGGAACUGAGACACGGUCCAGACUCCUACGGGAGGCAGCAGUGAGGAAUAUUGGGCAAUGGAGGAAACUCUGACCCAGCCAUGCCGCGUGAGUGAAGAAGGUUUUCGAAUUGUAAAGCUCUUUCGGAUGUGAAGAUGAUGACGGUAACAUCUAAAGAAGCCCCGGCAAACUUCGUGCCAGCAGCCGCGGUAAUACGAAGGGGGCAAGCGUUGUUCGGAAUUACUGGGCGUAAAGGGUGUGUAGGCGGGAAAGUAAGAUAGUGGUGAAAUGCCUGAGCUCAACUUGGGAACUGUCAUUAUAACUAUUUUUCUAGAGUGACAGAGAGGAUAUUGGAAUACCCAGUGUAGAGGUGAAAUUCGUAGAUAUUGGGUAGAACACCGGAGGCGAAGGCGAGUAUCUGGCUGUCAACUGACGCUGAGGCACGAAAGCAUGGGGAUCAAACAGGAUUAGAUACCCUGGUAGUCCAUGCUGUAAACGAUGAAUG